CUUGAGUCAGUUGUGGAUGGCCCACUGUCUGCUACGAAUCUCAAUUCAACCAGCUAGAAGGCAAUAAGUUAAGCAACAACGAUGGUUAACCUGAUUCUAUAUGGAACUGAGUCCAGUCCGCCGGUCCGUGCCGUUUUGCUGACCCUUCGUGCCCUCCAGCUGGACCAUGAGUUCCAUACACUGGACAUGCAGGCCGGCGAUCAUCUGAAGCCGGAUAUGUUAAACAAGAAUCCCCAGCACACGGUGCCCAUGCUGGAGGAUGGUGAGUCGUGCAUUUGGGACUCACACGCCAUCAUCGGAUAUCUGGUGAACAAGUACGCCCAGUCGGAUGAGCUCUAUCCAAAGGAUGCGCUGAAGCGAGCUGUGGUGGAUCAGCGGCUGCAUUUCGAGACCGGUGUCCUUUUUCACGGCAUCUUCAAGCAACUGCAGAGAGCUCUGUUCCAGGAGAAUGCCACUGAGGUGCCCAAGGAUCGCCUGGCUGAGCUGAAGGAUGCCUACGCUUUGCUGGAGCAGUUUCUGGCGGAGAAUCCCUAUGUGGCCGGUCCUCAGCUGACCAUCGCCGACUUUAGCAUUGUGGCCACCGUGAGCACUCUGCACCUGAGCUACUGUCCCGUGGAUGCGACCAAAUAUCCCAAGUUAUCCGCCUGGUUGGCACGCAUUUCCGCAUUGCCCUUCUAUGAGGAGGACAACUUGAGAGGAGCCCGCUUGCUGGCCGAUAAGAUCCGCUCCAAGCUGCCCAAGCAGUUUGACAAGCUGUGGCAAAAGGCCUUUGAGGACAUCAAGAGCGGAGCUGGAAAACAAUGAUGCGGAAGCCAUUGUCUCAUCGAUAAGAGAGCAUUGCCUAAAGUAAAAUUGAACUCGUGACUUUGUGGGCAUCUCAGGAACUUACCUUGCGUCGCCGCGUUUUAUGCGCCUCAUUGCAGCGGCGACGAGAAAGUGGUGGCAGCAAACUAAUUGGUUUAAUUUCAACUUUUACUUUGGCCCGACCAGUCACCAUGCCACCCCAACGCACCCCAUCUCGCCGCGUCACCCAACCACCCCCACAUCCUUGCCAGCAUGGCUCCACGAAAAUUCCACCCAUCGUGUCAGUGGCAUUUCAGAAGUUUGCUUUGCUUUACGCUCCGCCUGCCACUUCAGUUGCCUUCUCGAUUUUACUUUUUCCUUUUUCGCCUUUACAGGAUUCCACUUGGCCGGUUUAUUUCCUGUUUUUUUUUCAUUUCAUCUCAAUUUAUCCUAG
Drosophila sechellia is the source of this 1237-nucleotide RNA transcript. It is a transcript of the gene named Glutathione S transferase E10, with no coding region annotated. The record is from RefSeq and is a predicted model, not a curated record. The transcript has 2 exons. NCBI's taxonomy places the organism in Eukaryota, Metazoa, Arthropoda, Insecta, Diptera, Drosophilidae.